This 880-nucleotide long non-coding RNA is filed under the name Elaeis guineensis (African oil palm). Its description in RNAcentral is "long non-coding RNA (EGUI_LNC006259)". Lineage: Eukaryota; Viridiplantae; Streptophyta; Magnoliopsida; Arecales; Arecaceae. The record is from RNAcentral.
CCAUGGCUGUUAUUGCGACAUUGAAUCCCUGGGAAAUGAAUCGUGAACGACUUCUAGCGUCCGAUUGAUGGAUUAAUGGCAGCGGAGUGGGGUUUCCAAGGUAUUCGCUGCUAACGAACCUCAUUCAAAUCGAGUGCUGCUUGUCUGGCACCGCUUAUUUCCCUACUGUGAUUCUGAUCCUCACUACUGUGAUUCUAGUGGUACUGUUUCCCAACCGAAGGUCAAGGAUCCUGAUCAACCAUAGGCCACCAACAGGGGUGGCAUCCCAAUCCGCCUCACUCUGGAACUUGAAGAUAUCGUGGUCUUCAACUAGGGCAAAGGAUUCAACCUCAUGCGAGUUUGCCCUUCUCCUUCAGCUCACGAGCCAUCCAAUCCACCGGCAUCUUGUGUACUAAGGCUCUUAGCUAUCACUGCUGUAGUCUCCUAGGCAUGUCUGGAAGCUUCAAUCUUCUCCUCCAGUGGUUCUAGCACCUCAAUGAGGUAGCAUUGGAGAUUUUAUAGCUUCUUAUCGGUGAUCUUAUGGCUUGCUCAGAUCGCUUUUCGCGGGUGGCCUUGUUCCACCUUGGCCCUCACCACUGGAGGUGUCCUCCUAUGUCUCUUCACUCUGAUCUCCCAUUCUACUUGAGCCCUAGAUGUUUGAUGGAAUGUUUAAAAGAUUAAAUGAAACUCGAAGCAAUGUGUCACUAGAGCAACAACUAACCUUUUGAAAGAUUUACUUUGGUUUCGAUUUCGGAUUUGGUUUUGGGGAAUGAUGGUGAAUUCAGAUUUGGUUUCGAUUUUUUUCACUAAUCAUAUUGAAUAUACCCGACUGACAUUCCUUUCAUCACCACACUGUAGCAUUGUGGGUGGGAAAAAAAACUUAGUGAAGCAUUGUUUCCUG